Molecule: ribosomal RNA, 471 nt
Filed under: uncultured bacterium
Lineage: Bacteria
Description: partial 16S ribosomal RNA
Rfam family: Bacterial small subunit ribosomal RNA
Source: RNAcentral
GACGAACGCUGUCGGCGUGCUUAACACAUGCAAGUCGAACGGAAAGGCCCUGCUUGCAGGGUGCUCGAGUGGCGAACGGGUGAGUAACACGUGGGUGAUCUGCCCCUUACUUUGGGAUAAGCCUGGGAAACUGGGUCUAAUACUGGAUAGGACCAUGCUGUAGGUGGUGUGGUGGAAAGAUUUUUUCGGUAAGGGAUGAGCUCGCGGCCUAUCAGCUUGUUGGUGGGGUAAUGGCCUACCAAGGCGUCGACGGGUAGCCGGCCUGAGAGGGUGGACGGCCACAUUGGGACUGGGAUACGGCCCAGACUCCUACGGGAGGCAGCAGUGGGGAAUAUUGCACAAUGGGCGCAAGCCUGAUGCAGCGACGCCGCGUGGGGGAUGACGGCCUUCGGGUUGUAAACUCCUUUCAGCCAUGACGAAGCCGCUGUUGGGGUGACGGUAGUGGUAGAAGAAGCACCGGCUAACUACGUG